Molecule: long non-coding RNA, 507 nt
Organism: Rattus rattus (black rat)
Lineage: Eukaryota; Metazoa; Chordata; Mammalia; Rodentia; Muridae
Exons: 4
Source: RefSeq, a predicted model, not a curated record
GUGAAACAAAUUCAAAGCACAAACAAGAGAACCCAUCUCGAUUACCAGCCACUCCUGUGCCUCAACAAAGAGGCUGGAGAACAUAUCCUUGAACCUAAUAAAACGAGAAGCCAAGGAGCAAUGAGAGGCCACAGGAGUAAGUGGGCCCAGUGACAAGACGCAUGUCCUCCUCGCUGGAUGGUGCUUGGAGAAUCCUGGAUGUGUGGAAGACUUACUUCUGGGGCUUCUGGGAAGCAUCAGUGCUUGGGCAUCACUCCAGAGUCCACAUUCAUUACUCUGCAGGAUCAUUCAGCAUUCUCGAGCUUAAUAUUCCUCAUUCAUGAAGUGUCCAGGAAGUUGGAAACUAUCUGAAUACCUGUGGAACACACCUCUACAUUUUGUCUAAAUAUAUCAUUGGACAGUCCUUCUAUGCAGCUGAUCUCAAUCCUACCUUCUCCUGGGCCACUGUAAAUGUCUUGCUGUGUGUCUGAGGUCUUGGAUAGAGUGAAGACAGUCCAACCCACAAUG